GGAAUUCAGCGUGUGCGGAGGGUCCGGGAAUCGGGCCGGGGAUCUUCGGACCCCGCCCAGCUCUCGACUGGGCCCGACGCCGCGUGCACUUUCCGCGGGCAGAGCGCCACGACCGGUUUCGCGGCGGCGAUAAGCCCGUUGCGGAUGCGUGGCACGAUCUCACGGUCGUGCUACGGCCGCUCGCGGUGAGCCGCUGUCGGGACCGAGGGACGGCCGCGUGCUUCGAGGCUGCCCGGCCUCGCUGGGGAGUUCGACUGGCAGGGACUGGGUAACCGUGCCUGCCGACUGCUCCCCGGUGCCGGUUCGGGACAGCCGGGCGCGUC
RNAcentral lists this ribosomal RNA (323 nucleotides) under Radix cf. plicatula TS-2021 Clade II. RNAcentral's name for it is "partial 28S ribosomal RNA". Lineage: Eukaryota; Metazoa; Mollusca; Gastropoda; Lymnaeidae. The record is from RNAcentral.